This 373-nucleotide ribosomal RNA is filed under the name Pseudomonas aeruginosa. RNAcentral's name for it is "partial 23S ribosomal RNA". It matches the Rfam family "Bacterial large subunit ribosomal RNA", at positions 2160 to 2532 of the family's 2925-position model. The record is from RNAcentral. Lineage: Bacteria; Pseudomonadati; Pseudomonadota; Gammaproteobacteria; Pseudomonadales; Pseudomonadaceae.
ACACUAAAAAACCAGUCUGCGUGGAGCCAACCUUGAAAUACCACCCUUUAAUGUUUGAUGUUCUAACGUUGGCCCCUGACCGGGGUUGCGGACAGUGUCUGGUGGGUAGUUUGACUGGGGCGGUCUCCUCCCAAAGCGUAACGGAGGAGCACGAAGGUUAGCUAAUCCUGGUCGGACAUCAGGAGGUUAGUGCAAUGGCAUAAGCUAGCUUGACUGCGAGCGUGACGGCGCGAGCAGGUGCGAAAGCAGGUCAUAGUGAUCCGGUGGUUCUGAAUGGAAGGGCCAUCGCUCAACGGAUAAAAGGUACUCCGUGGAUAACAGGCUGAUACCGCCCAAGAGUUCAUAUCGACGGCGGUGUUUGGCACCUCGAUGU